AUACGUACCUGGCAGGGAGAUACCACGAUCGUGCAGGUGGUUUUCCCAGGGCACGACAUAUCCAGUGCCCUCCAGACAUGCUGACCCCUGCGAUUUCCCCAAAUGUGGGAAACUCAACUGCAUAAUUUUUGACAGUGGGGGAAUGUGUUCACGCUCUCCCCUG
This 163-nucleotide small nuclear RNA is filed under the name Dasypus novemcinctus (nine-banded armadillo). Its description in RNAcentral is "U1 spliceosomal RNA (ENSDNOG00000037360.1)". It matches the Rfam family "U1 spliceosomal RNA". From Rfam's summary of the family: U1 is a small nuclear RNA (snRNA) component of the spliceosome (involved in pre-mRNA splicing). Its 5' end forms complementary base pairs with the 5' splice junction, thus defining the 5' donor site of an intron. The record is from RNAcentral. Lineage: Eukaryota; Metazoa; Chordata; Mammalia; Cingulata; Dasypodidae.